RNAcentral lists this ribosomal RNA (435 nucleotides) under uncultured marine crenarchaeote. RNAcentral describes it as "bacterial SSU rRNA". It matches the Rfam family "Archaeal small subunit ribosomal RNA", at positions 27 to 447 of the family's 1478-position model. The record is from RNAcentral. Lineage: Archaea; Thermoproteati; Thermoproteota.
CGACCUGCUAUUAGAUUGAUAUUAAGCCAUGUUAGUCAUUGUAGUAACACAAGGCAGACGGCUCAGUAACAUGUAGUCAACCUAACUUAUGGACGGGGAUCACCUCGGGAAACUGAGAAUAAUACCCGAUAGGUCAUAACGCCUGGAAUGGUUUAUGACUCAAAUGAAUGUCCGCCGUAGGAUGGGACUGCGAGCUAUCAGCUUGUUGGUGAGGUAAUGGCCCACCAAGGCUAUAACAGUUACGGGCUCUGAGAGGAGUAGCCCGGAGAUGGGUACUGAGACAAGACCCCCAGCGCCCCUAUGGGGCGCAGCAGGCGAGAAAACUUGUGCAAUGCGCAGAAAGUCUGCGCACAGAGUGUUAAUUUGAGUGUGUCCUCUGUCUAAGAGGAACCUUUUGUUAUGUGGUGAGAACCACUGAUGACAUCGGGGUGUGGC